GCCAAAGCUGGGCCUGUGUACUCACUAGUGUGCAGCCAUGGACAGGCUUACUUCCUCAUUCCUGCUGCUGAUUGCCCCUGCAUAUGUCCUGUCCCAGGUUACUCUGAAAGAGUCUGGCCCCGGGAUAUUGCAGCCCUCCCAGACCCUCAGUCUGACUUGUUCUUUCUCCGGAUUUUCACUGAGCACUUAUGGUAUGGGUGUGGGCUGGAUCCGUCAGUCUUCAGGGAAGGGUCUGGAGUGGCUGUCAGUCAUUUAUUGGAAUGAUGUUAAGUACUACAACCCAUCCCUGAAGAGUCGGCUUACAAUCUACAAGGACACCUCCAACAACCAGGUGUUUCUCAAGCUGGCCAGUGUGGAUACUUCAGAUACUGCGAAAUAUUACUGUGCUCGGAGAGCACAUUGGCACAGCCUCAGUUUUCAGCUCUACAAUAUUUCAGGCUGUUGAUCUGCUUUGUUCCUUUCUAUUAUAUCAUAAGCAGGUACAGCCACAGCUUUCCUGCUGUCCUCUGUGGUUUCCCGUUUGCUCUUGGGUUAUGACCUUUCUAUUCCAUUUCUUCACCCUAAGUCUCUAUUAUAAUGUUCAUAAAUUA
Molecule: non-coding RNA, 590 nt
Organism: Apodemus sylvaticus (European woodmouse)
Lineage: Eukaryota; Metazoa; Chordata; Mammalia; Rodentia; Muridae
Source: the annotation of a RefSeq genome assembly